AUUGAACGCUGGCGGCAGGCCUAACACAUGCAAGUCGAGCGGCAGCGGAAAGUAGCUUGCUACUUUGCCGGCGAGCGGCGGACGGGUGAGUAAUGUCUGGGAAACUGCCUGAUGGAGGGGGAUAACUACUGGAAACGGUAGCUAAUACCGCAUAACGUCGCAAGACCAAAGAGGGGGGCCUUCGGGCCUCUUGCCAUCAGAUGUGCCCAGAUGGGAUUAGCUAGUAGGUGGGGUAACGGCUCACCUAGGCGACGAUCCCUAGCUGGUCUGAGAGGAUGACAAGCCACACUGGAACUGAGACACGGUCCAGACUCCUACGGGAGGCAGCAGUGGGGAAUAUUGCACAAUGGGCGCAAGCCUGAUGCAGCCAUGCCGCGUGUAUGAAGAAGGCCUUCGGGUUGUAAAGUACUUUCAGCGGGGAGGAAGGCGUUGAGGUUAAUAACCUCAGUGAUUGACGUUACCCGCAGAAGAAGCACCGGCUAACUCCGUGCCAGCCGCCGCGGUAA
RNAcentral lists this ribosomal RNA (506 nucleotides) under uncultured bacterium. RNAcentral describes it as "partial 16S ribosomal RNA". It matches the Rfam family "Bacterial small subunit ribosomal RNA", at positions 30 to 523 of the family's 1533-position model. The record is from RNAcentral.